AUACGGGAGCCAGCAGCCGCGGUAAUACGGGAGCCAGCAGCCGCGGUAAUACGGGAGCCAGCAGCCGCGGUAAUACGGGAGCCAGCAGCCGCGGUAAUACGGGAGCCAGCAGCCGCGGUAAUACGGGAGCCAG
This 133-nucleotide ribosomal RNA is filed under the name uncultured bacterium. RNAcentral's name for it is "partial 16S ribosomal RNA". The record is from RNAcentral.